Molecule: transfer RNA, 74 nt
Filed under: Thermoprotei archaeon
Lineage: Archaea; Thermoproteati; Thermoproteota; Thermoprotei
Also listed under: 1 other name
Description: tRNA-Phe
Rfam family: tRNA
About the family: Transfer RNA (tRNA) molecules are approximately 80 nucleotides in length. Their secondary structure includes four short double-helical elements and three loops (D, anti-codon, and T loops).
Source: RNAcentral
GCCCCGGUAGCUCAGCCUGGGAGAGCAUCCGGCUGAAGACCGGAGGGUCCCGGGUUCAAGUCCCGGCCGGGGCA